This 452-nucleotide ribosomal RNA is filed under the name uncultured bacterium. RNAcentral's name for it is "bacterial SSU rRNA". It matches the Rfam family "Bacterial small subunit ribosomal RNA", at positions 335 to 798 of the family's 1533-position model. The record is from RNAcentral.
ACUCCUACGGGAGGCAGCAGUGGGGAAUCUUAGACAAUGGGCGCAAGCCUGAUCUAGCCAUGCCGCGUGAGUGAUGAAGGCCUUAGGGUCGUAAAAGCUCUUUCGCCUGUGAUGAUAAUGACAGUAGCAGGUAAAGAAACCCCGGCUAACUCCGUGCCAGCAGCCGCGGUAAUACGGAGGGGGGUUAGCGUUGUUCGGAAUUACUGGGGCGUAAAGCGCACGUAGGCGGAUUGGAAAGUUGGGGGGUGAAAUCCCGGGGCUCAACCCCGGAACGGCCUCCAAAACUCCCAGUCUGGAGUUCGAGAGAGGUGAGUGGAAUUCCGAGUGUAGAGGUGAAAUUCGUAGAUAUUCGGAGGAACACCAGUGGCGAAGGCGGCUCACUGGCUCGAUACUGACACUCAGAUGCGAAAGCGUGGGGAGCAAACAGGAUUAGAUACCCUGGUAGCGACUGA